This 425-nucleotide ribosomal RNA is filed under the name uncultured bacterium. RNAcentral's name for it is "partial 16S ribosomal RNA". It matches the Rfam family "Bacterial small subunit ribosomal RNA", at positions 354 to 796 of the family's 1533-position model. The record is from RNAcentral.
GUGGGGAAUCUUAGACAAUGGGCGCAAGCCUGAUCUAGCCAUGCCGCGUGAGUGAUGAAGGCCCUAGGGUUGUAAAGCUCUUUCAGCUGGGAAGAUAAUGACGGUACCAGCAGAAGAAGCCCCGGCUAACUCCGUGCCAGCAGCCGCGGUAAUACGGAGGGGGCUAGCGUUGUUCGGAAUUACUGGGCGUAAAGCGCGCGUAGGCGGACUGAAAAGUUGGGGGUGAAAUCCCGGGGCUCAACCUCGGAACUGCCUUCAAAACUAUCAGUCUGGAGUUCGAGAGAGGUGAGUGGAAUUCCGAGUGUAGAGGUGAAAUUCGUAGAUAUUCGGAAGAACACCAGUGGCGAAGGCGACUCACUGGCCCGUUACUGACGCUGAGGCGCGAAAGCGUGGGGAGCAAACAGGAUUAGAAACCCGUGUAGUCC